GACGAACGCUGGCGGCGUGCCUAAUACAUGCAAGUUGAGCGAUGAAGAUUGGUGCUUGCACCAAUUUGAAGAGCAGCGAACGGGUGAGUAACGCGUGGGGAAUCUGCCUUUGAGCGGGGGACAACAUUUGGAAACGAAUGCUAAUACCGCAUAACAACUUUAAACAUAAGUUUUAAGUUUGAAAGAUGCAAUUGCAUCACUCAAAGAUGAUCCCGCGUUGUAUUAGCUAGUUGGUGAGGUAAAGGCUCACCAAGGCGAUGAUACAUAGCCGACCUGAGAGGGUGGUCGGCCACAUUGGGACUGAGACACGGCCCAAACUCCUACGGGAGGCAGCAGUAGGGGAUCUUCGGCAAUGGACGAAGGUCUGACCGAGCAACGCCGCGUGAGUGAAGGAGGUUUUCGGAUCGUAAAACUCUGUUGGUAGAGAAGAACGUUGGUGAGAGUGGAAAGCUCAUCAAGUGACGGUAACUACCCAGAAAGGGACGGCUAACUACGUG
RNAcentral lists this ribosomal RNA (497 nucleotides) under uncultured bacterium. RNAcentral describes it as "partial 16S ribosomal RNA". It matches the Rfam family "Bacterial small subunit ribosomal RNA", at positions 28 to 507 of the family's 1533-position model. The record is from RNAcentral.